GAUGGGAGAAACUUAUCCAACAGGUAGCUAUCUGCAUUUUUGGAACAUUCUACUUAUCAUCUUCUUAUUUACUUUACCCUUUUGCUGAAACCCCUUUUGCUGAAAGCCUGAAACCUGGUUUACUUGAAAAUGUUAUCCAAUGCAUAGUGCUUUUCAUUUCCAAUCACUAAUGUACCUUGUCACUCAACCUUACCUUCCCAUCCCUGUAUUGAAUUUUUCAGAUUCUUGGUUAUUUUUUACAUUUGAAUAAUGGCUUUUGUAAGAAGAAUGGUUUUGUAUUGAUUAUUAUAAAGAGAGUGCACUGAACUUGAUUUUAAUUAUAUAUUAUUGUUUAGAUAUGAAAGGUCUUAGCCAUUGCACUUUCACAUUCAACAUAAA
Molecule: unclassified non-coding RNA, 378 nt
Filed under: Hevea brasiliensis (rubber tree)
Lineage: Eukaryota; Viridiplantae; Streptophyta; Magnoliopsida; Malpighiales; Euphorbiaceae
Source: RNAcentral